RNAcentral lists this long non-coding RNA (281 nucleotides) under Rattus norvegicus (Norway rat). RNAcentral describes it as "long non-coding RNA NONRATT009097". The record is from RNAcentral. Lineage: Eukaryota; Metazoa; Chordata; Mammalia; Rodentia; Muridae.
UCAGGUGACUCUGGCCAAGGACUGAGACAGUGGAUCAAGCAGGUACUAAACCAAGACCUAACAUUCCAGCACAUAAAGAUUAUUUAUCCAACGGCUCCCUCCAGGCCAUAUACUCCUCUGAAGGGAGGGUUCUCCAAUGUGUGGUUUGACAGAUUUAAAAUAUCUAACGACUGCCCAGAGCACCUCGAAUCAAUCGAUAGCAUGUGUCAAGUGCUCACCGGAUUGAUUGAUGACGAAGUAAAAAAUGGCAUCGAGAAAAGCAGGAUAUUAAUAGGUGAGGA